GUGCCAGCAGCCGCGGUAAUACGGAGGGUGCGAGCGUUAAUCGGAAUUACUGGGCGUAAAGGGCGCGUAGGCGGUCGCGCAAGUCGGGUGUGAAAGCCCCGAGCUCAACCUGGGAAUUGCAUUCGAUACUGCGUAACUAGAGUCUGGUAGAGGGAAGCGGAAUUCCGCAUGUAGCGGUGAAAUGCGUAGAUAUGCGGAGGAACACCAGUGGCGAAGGCGGCUUCCUGGACCAAGACUGACGCUGAGGCGCGAAAGCGUGGGGAGCAAACAGGAUUAGAUACCCUGGUAGUCCACGCCCUAAACGAUGAGGACUAGACGUUGGGGGGAUAAAACCCUUUAGUGUCGCAGCUAACGCGUGAAGUCCUCCGCCUGGGGAGUACGGCCGCAAGGUUGAAACUCAAGGGAAUUGACGG
RNAcentral lists this ribosomal RNA (413 nucleotides) under uncultured bacterium. RNAcentral's name for it is "bacterial SSU rRNA". It matches the Rfam family "Bacterial small subunit ribosomal RNA", at positions 505 to 916 of the family's 1533-position model. The record is from RNAcentral.